This 1532-nucleotide long non-coding RNA is filed under the name Mus musculus (house mouse). Its description in RNAcentral is "long non-coding RNA chr1:9902295-9903827". The record is from RNAcentral. Lineage: Eukaryota; Metazoa; Chordata; Mammalia; Rodentia; Muridae.
AUUAGCUUUGCAAUAAAGGACUUCCACAAAGUCAAAUGAAAAGUCAUACAUUAAACAACCUUAAUAAAUAUUCUGUAAGCAGAAUGAAGUAUAGAAACCCCAGGUGGUCACUUGUAUCUCCUACGUUGUGUAUCUUGCUCAGCUGCCCCACAAGCUGACCUGUACACUUAUUAAAGUCUACAUUUUUAAAUGCUAGCCUGUUAACUUAAUCUUGAUUAUGAAAUGUUCCCAGAGAUGAGCUAUUAAAAGCACAUAGUAUCUAAAGAAAAAGAAAAUUUAACCAAAGUUGCAGCAGUGGAGAAUAAAUUGUUGGUACACAUGCCAUUCUAUAACAGUUAAGUGGUCAAAGAAUCUCCCACGUAAAAGGUAGAUAGUUUUUACAUGUGUUUAGCUACAAUAAAAAUGUUAAACCUGCUCACUCAAUGAACCAGACACACUUGAUGAUUUUAUAAAUCCUGUAUUCAAAAGUAACAUCUCAAUUUUUAUCAUAAAUUCUCUUUUGUAGGAAUGUAUUUCAUGGGUUCAUGGUUUCUCACACCUACUAUACUUUGAGCAGUUAAUGAUAAAGAUAGGUGCUACUUUAGUUUUGGUUAAAUAUUUGUGGGAAAGUACAAUGAAGUAUCAACUCCCUGUUCUGUUUUAAUAGUUAACUCGUGGAGCGCAGAAGGCUGAGUUACACAGUACUGUCACACCACACAGCCAGCCAGCUGCAGUCUCCUCUGGAGUUUUUCAGUUCUUUUUACAUAGUAAAAAAAAAAAAAAAAAAAAAAAAAAAAGCCUUGCUGUGUUAGGUUUUUCUGUGAUCCAGUGGUAGGCAUGAAUCAUUCAAAAUUUAAAGCUUAUAGGCUGGCAGGAUGAUUUACCAGUCACAUUGCCACCAAAUCUGAUGAGCUGAGUUUAACACCCAGGACUUCCAUGAUGAAAGAGACGUGACACCCACAGGUUCUCCUGUGACACCCACAUGUCACAGCAUGGCUUGGUGGUGGACUGCCUAAUAUCCCUGAGGCCCUGGGUUCAAUGCCGUGUGUGUGUGUGUGUGUGUGUGUGUGUGUGUGUGUGUGUGUGUGUGUACACCACAUGUAUGCAGAUGUCAUCAGAGAAGAGAAGACUCCAGUCUCCUGAGGCUGGAGAUGUAGGUGCUUGUAAACCACCUGACAUGGAUGCUGGAUGCUGAGCUCUGGUCCUCGAGAAGAGCAGCAAAGGCUCUUAGCCACUGAGCCAUCUCUCUAGCCCUGGUUGGUAAUCUUAAUUGAGAACAUUUAUCUCAAGUCCAGGGGAAGAAGAAUCUGAGGUACAUUUUGAUGGAUGGUACAGUAGCUAGAUGAUUUCACCCACUACCGAGACUUUAUACAUUUAUAUUUAUUCUUGGAGAAUUUCAUACAUGUAUACAAUGUAUUUUGCCUUAUCUGUACCUCACCCUGGUCUCCUCCCACCCCAAACUUGCCCCACAACAGAUAUGUUCCUCUCCCAGCUUCAUGUCUUUUUAAAAAUAACCCACUGAGUCCAGCUAAUAGAACAAAUACAUGAUCUUU